UGCACAUACUCAUCACAAAAUAAGAGUCUACAGAUAGAUAGAAAAAGAGAGGGAGAGUAAAGCUGAAGCGUAGAGAAGGUCUUAACCUCAGCUUGACAUGUGGCACUCUCUGCUUUGAGCUUUUGUCCACAUGGCUAAUCCGUUGUUUUUGUGAAAAAUCACAAGACUAACGUGGUUAACCUAAGCCUCCUUGACUCCUUGUUCUUUUAACACGUAUUGCAUUAGAUGCAUCAGAGUAAUCUUUUAUACCUUUUCUAUGCACAUACAUUCUGGGAGCACUUGU
This 283-nucleotide unclassified non-coding RNA is filed under the name Hevea brasiliensis (rubber tree). Lineage: Eukaryota; Viridiplantae; Streptophyta; Magnoliopsida; Malpighiales; Euphorbiaceae. The record is from RNAcentral.